Molecule: small nucleolar RNA, 141 nt
Organism: Cavia aperea (Brazilian guinea pig)
Lineage: Eukaryota; Metazoa; Chordata; Mammalia; Rodentia; Caviidae
Source: Ensembl
AUGACCCUGAAUAAAGGCCAGCAGUCUUUUGAAGCUUUUGGUUUCAAGCAGGAAAGAGCCUGAAGUGGUAUCUUUCUAUGGUGCAUUGGCCAUUUCAGAACUUUAGAAAUGCAAUGGUUAAUUCAUUAGAAAGAAUAAACU